AUUCUCAUUCACCUGCCUUAACUAGAAUUUGCUUUUAGACUCUGAAAAUGCAUUUUAGCUUGUUUCAAUCCAAGUGAGUAUAUCAAGUGUAGUGGUCCUAGUUGAUCAUCUUUUGCAAAGUGAAAUAAUAUACAUGGUGCUAGUUGAUCAUCUUUCGAAAAGUGUAAUUGAUAGUAUUUUGUUUCUCUUUCUUCUUGGUCAAACCUGAAUGUUUAAUUCACUCAUUGCUGUUAAAAUCAGUCCCUGUCAUUGCCAAGUUACUAUUUAAUUCCAAAAGCAA
Molecule: unclassified non-coding RNA, 280 nt
Filed under: Hevea brasiliensis (rubber tree)
Lineage: Eukaryota; Viridiplantae; Streptophyta; Magnoliopsida; Malpighiales; Euphorbiaceae
Source: RNAcentral